GGAGAGUUGGCAGAGCCUGGCUUAAUGCACCUGACUUGAAAUCAGACGUAGGGUAACCUACCGGGGGUUCGAAUCCCUCACUCUCCG
This 87-nucleotide transfer RNA is filed under the name Reinekea forsetii. It matches the Rfam family "tRNA". Rfam says of the family: Transfer RNA (tRNA) molecules are approximately 80 nucleotides in length. Their secondary structure includes four short double-helical elements and three loops (D, anti-codon, and T loops). Further hydrogen bonds mediate the characteristic L-shaped molecular structure. tRNAs have two regions of fundamental functional importance: the anti-codon, which is responsible for specific mRNA codon recognition, and the 3' end, to which the tRNAs corresponding amino acid is attached (by aminoacyl-tRNA synthetases). tRNAs cope with the degeneracy of the genetic code in two manners: having more than one tRNA (with a specific anti-codon) for a particular amino acid; and 'wobble' base-pairing, i.e. permitting non-standard base-pairing at the 3rd anti-codon position. The record is from Rfam by way of RNAcentral. Lineage: Bacteria; Pseudomonadati; Pseudomonadota; Gammaproteobacteria; Oceanospirillales; Saccharospirillaceae.